This 253-nucleotide ribosomal RNA is filed under the name uncultured bacterium. RNAcentral's name for it is "partial 16S ribosomal RNA". It matches the Rfam family "Bacterial small subunit ribosomal RNA", at positions 524 to 776 of the family's 1533-position model. The record is from RNAcentral.
UACAGAGGGUGCGAGCGUUAAUCGGAAUUACUGGGCGUAAAGCGCGCGUAGGCGGUUUUGUAAGUCGGGUGUGAAAUCCCCAGGCUCAACCUGGGAACUGCAUUCGAGACUGCAUAGCUAGAGUAUGGGAGAGGGAAGUGGAAUUUCAGGUGUAGCGGUGAAAUGCGCAGAUAUCAGGAAGAACACCCGUGGCGAAGGCGGCUCUCUGGGACGGUACUGACGCUGAGACGCGAAAGCGUGGGGAGCGAACAGG